AUUGUACUCCCUUUGUUCGGAAAUAUACUUGUCAUAGGAAUGGAUGUAUCUAGAUGUAUUUUAGUUCUAGGUAUAUUCAUUAUUACCAAUUUGUGUGACAAGUAAUUCCGGACGGAGGGAGUACUCA
Molecule: non-coding RNA, 127 nt
Organism: Hordeum vulgare subsp. vulgare (domesticated barley)
Lineage: Eukaryota; Viridiplantae; Streptophyta; Magnoliopsida; Poales; Poaceae
Source: Rfam